Molecule: ribosomal RNA, 468 nt
Filed under: uncultured bacterium
Lineage: Bacteria
Description: partial 16S ribosomal RNA
Rfam family: Bacterial small subunit ribosomal RNA
Source: RNAcentral
GACGAACGCUGGCGGCGUGCUUAACACAUGCAAGUCGAACGGAAAGGCCCUGCUUUUGUGGGGUGCUCGAGUGGCGAACGGGUGAGUAACACGUGAGUAACCUGCCCUUGACUUUGGGAUAACUUCAGGCAACUGGGGCUAAUACCGGAUAGGCGCUCCUUCUGCAUAGUGGGGGUUGGAAAGUUUCGGCGGUUGGGGAUGGACUCGCGGCUUAUCAGCUUGUUGGUGGGGUAGUGGCUUACCAAGGCUUUGACGGGUAGCCGGCCUGAGAGGGUGGCCGGCCACAUUGGGACUGAGAUACGGCCCAGACUCCUAAGGGAGGCAGCAGUGGGGAAUAGUGCACAAUGGGCGGAAGCCUGAUGCAGCAACGCCGCGUGCGGGAUGACGGACUUCGGGUUGUAAACCGCUUUCGCCUGUGACGGAGCGUGAGUGAAGGUAAUGGGUAAAGAAGCACCGGCUAACUACGUG